This 253-nucleotide ribosomal RNA is filed under the name uncultured bacterium. Its description in RNAcentral is "partial 16S ribosomal RNA". It matches the Rfam family "Bacterial small subunit ribosomal RNA", at positions 524 to 776 of the family's 1533-position model. The record is from RNAcentral.
UACGGAGGGGGCUAGCGUUAUUCGGAAUUAUUGGGCGUAAAGGGCGCGUAGGCGGCCCGGUAAGUCAAAGGUGAAAUCCCUCGGCUCAACUGAGGAACUGCCUUUGAAACUGUCGGGCUUGAGGCCGGGAGGGGGUAGCGGAAUUCCCAGUGUAGCGGUGAAAUGCGUAGAUAUUGGGAGGAACACCAGUGGCGAAGGCGACUCGCUGGACCGGAUCUGACGCUGAGGCGCGAAAGCGUGGGUAGCAAACAGG